This 506-nucleotide ribosomal RNA is filed under the name uncultured bacterium. RNAcentral's name for it is "partial 16S ribosomal RNA". It matches the Rfam family "Bacterial small subunit ribosomal RNA", at positions 29 to 523 of the family's 1533-position model. The record is from RNAcentral.
AGUGAACGCGGGCGGUAGGCCUAACACAUGCAAGUCGAACGGCAGCACAGGAGAGCUUGCUCUCUGGGUGGCGAGUGGCGGACGGGUGAGGAAUACAUCGGAAUCUACUCUGUCGUGGGGGAUAACGUAGGGAAACUUACGCUAAUACCGCAUACGACCUAAGGGUGAAAGCAGGGGACCUUCGGGCCUUGCGCGAUUGAAUGAGCCGAGGACGGAUUAGCUAGUUGGCGGGGUAAAGGCCCACCAAGGCGACGGUCCGGAGCUGGUCUGAGAGGAUGAUCAGCCACACUGGAACUGAGACACGGUCCAGACUCCUACGGGAGGCAGCAGUGGGGAAUAUUGGACAAUGGGCGCAAGCCUGAUCCAGCCAUACCGCGUGGGUGAAGAAGGCCUUCGGGUUGUAAAGCCCUUUUGUUGGGAAAGAAAUCCAGCUGGCUAAUACCCGGUUGGGAUGACGCUACCCAAAGAAUAAGCACCGGCUAACUUCGUGCCAGCCGCCGCGGUAA